GGGCUGCAGUGAGGAAUAUUGCGCAAUGGGGGAAACCCUGACGCAGCGACGCCGCGUGGAUGAUGAAGGCUUUCGGGUCGUAAAAUCCUGUCAGAUGGGAAGAAAUGCAUAGGGGCUAAUACCCUUUAUGUUUGACGGUACCAUCAAAGGAAGCACCGGCUAACUCCGUGCCAGCAGCCGCGGUAAUACGGAGGGUGCAAGCGUUGUUCGGAAUUACUGGGCGUAAAGCGCGCGUAGGCGGUUUGUUAAGUCAGAUGUGAAAGUCCACGGCUCAACCAUGGAAGUGCAUUUGAUACUGGCAGACUUGAGUACUGGAGGGGGUGGUGGAAUUCCCGGUGUAGAGGUGAAAUUCGUAGAUAUCGGGAGGAAUACCGGUGGCGAAGGCGACCACCUGGCCAGAUACUGACGCUGAGGUGCGAAAGCGUGGGGAGCAAACAGGAUUAGAUACCCUAGUAGUC
Molecule: ribosomal RNA, 458 nt
Filed under: uncultured Desulfobulbaceae bacterium
Lineage: Bacteria; Pseudomonadati; Thermodesulfobacteriota; Desulfobulbia; Desulfobulbales; Desulfobulbaceae
Description: bacterial SSU rRNA
Rfam family: Bacterial small subunit ribosomal RNA
Source: RNAcentral